Molecule: ribosomal RNA, 253 nt
Filed under: uncultured bacterium
Lineage: Bacteria
Description: partial 16S ribosomal RNA
Rfam family: Bacterial small subunit ribosomal RNA
Source: RNAcentral
UACGUAGGGUCCGAGCGUUGUCCGGAAUUACUGGGCGUAAAGAGCUCGUAGGUGGUUUGGCGCGUUGUUCGUGAAAACUCACAGCUUAACUGUGGGCGUGCGGGCGAUACGGGCAGACUGGAGUACUGCAGGGGAGACUGGAAUUCCUGGUGUAGCGGUGGAAUGCGCAGAUAUCAGGAGGAACACCGGUGGCGAAGGCGGGUCUCUGGGCAGUAACUGACGCUGAGGAGCGAAAGCGUGGGGAGCGAACAGG